UUGGAAGGUNAAAGUCGUAACAAGGUUUCCGUAGGUGAACCUGCGGAAGGAUCAUUACAGAAUGAAAAGUGCUUAACUGCAUUUUUUCUUACACAUGUGUUUUUCUUUUUUUGAAAACUUUGCUUUGGUAGGCCUUCUAUAUGGGGCCUGCCAGAGAUUAAACUCAACCAAAUUUUAUUUAAUGUCAACCGAUUAUUUAAUAGUCAAAACUUUCAACAACGGAUCUCUUGGUUCUCGCAUCGAUGAAGAACGCAGCGAAAUGCGAUAAGUAAUAUGAAUUGCAGAUAUUCGUGAAUCAUCGAAUCUUUGAACGCACAUUGCGCCCUUUGGUAUUCCAAAGGGCAUGCCUGUUUGAGCGUCAUUUCUCCCUCAAACCCUCGGGUUUGGUGUUGAGCGAUACGCUGGGUUUGCUUGAAAGAAAGGCGGAGUAUAAACUAAUGGAUAGGUUUUUUCCACUCAUUGGUACAAACUCCAAAACUUCUUCCAAAUUCGACCUCAAAUCAGGUAGGACUACCCGCUGAACUUAAGCAUAUCAAUAAGCNGGAGGAA
Molecule: small RNA, 549 nt
Filed under: Lodderomyces parapsilosis
Lineage: Eukaryota; Fungi; Ascomycota; Pichiomycetes; Serinales; Debaryomycetaceae
Description: eukaryotic LSU rRNA
Rfam family: 5.8S ribosomal RNA (bases 208-361)
Source: RNAcentral